UUAGCUAGGGGUGCCUUAUGGCUGAGAGAAUUAUCAACCCUUGAACCUGAUAUGGUUAAUACCAGCGUAGGAAAGCUACUUAA
Molecule: non-coding RNA, 83 nt
Filed under: Clostridium mediterraneense
Lineage: Bacteria; Bacillati; Bacillota; Clostridia; Eubacteriales; Clostridiaceae
Description: TPP riboswitch (THI element)
Rfam family: TPP riboswitch aptamer (THI element)
About the family: Vitamin B(1) in its active form thiamin pyrophosphate (TPP) is an essential coenzyme that is synthesised by coupling of pyrimidine and thiazole moieties in bacteria.
Source: RNAcentral